GUUGGUGUUAUGGAUAGGAGUGUAUUAAUUAGCUUUGAGCAUCUGGGUGUUUAGAUUAUCUUCUUGAAAUGUUUAAAUGCUUAAAUGCUAUUAAUACACUCCUAUCCAUAACACCAACAAACACACCAUGGCCCAACCCAAUAUGAAGGUCUUACUUUUCUUCAUUGAAAUAAGAAGAAAGACUUUUGAGCAUGGCCACAGCAUUCUCACAGGUAGGUUUGAACAAAUGGAACACAUGUUCUUCUUCCUUAGCCUCCAUGAUUUCCACAUGUCCUUGCCAUCCACUCUUUUUCAGAUUCUCAUAGUAAUACCAACCUCUAUUUUUCAAGAUAUCCUUCUCAGCAACAAUCACAAGAACUCUGGAACAUCCCAACCUUGCCAAUUUUGGAUCAAAAGCUGGAUUAAUCAAAGGAUCAUCCAACCCACUUGUUGUUGGGCUUACAAAAAGCCACAUAGCAUCAAUCUUUGAUCUUGUUUCUGGAUCUUUAGGCUCAUCUCCCACAGGUUCUUUGCCCCAAAAAUAAGGAUGUAUUAGAACAAUCCCUUUGAGGAUAAUACCAGGCAAUUUCUCUUCAUCAUAUCUCAAGGCCAUAUGGUGGGAUAUAUUGGCACCAGCACUAUCUCCUGCAAGAAAAACCUUACCAAAAUCUGCAUGAAGAUUUAGCCACUCCUCAGGGCCAUUACCAUUAACAUGAGAAGCAACCCAUUGAAGAGCAGACCAUGAAUCAUCGUAUACAGUAGAGAGAGGAUGCUCUGGAGCUCUUCUAUAAUCAACAGAGACUG
Molecule: unclassified non-coding RNA, 783 nt
Filed under: Hevea brasiliensis (rubber tree)
Lineage: Eukaryota; Viridiplantae; Streptophyta; Magnoliopsida; Malpighiales; Euphorbiaceae
Source: RNAcentral